Non-coding RNA from Acanthosepion pharaonis, 113 nucleotides. Lineage: Eukaryota; Metazoa; Mollusca; Cephalopoda; Sepiida; Sepiidae. The record is from the annotation of a GenBank genome assembly.
UACGGACAUAUCUCGUUGAAACACCGUUUUUCAUAAGAUCAUCGAAGUUAAGCAACGUUGAACUUGGUCAGUACCUAGAUGGGCGACUUUUUGGGAAUACCAGGUGCUGUAAG